This 992-nucleotide ribosomal RNA is filed under the name Bacillus sp. AMF1303. RNAcentral's name for it is "bacterial SSU rRNA". It matches the Rfam family "Bacterial small subunit ribosomal RNA", at positions 56 to 1042 of the family's 1533-position model. The record is from RNAcentral. Lineage: Bacteria; Bacillati; Bacillota; Bacilli; Caryophanales; Bacillaceae.
UGCAGUCGAGCGGACGGAUGGGAGCUUGCUCCCUGAAGUCAGCGGCGGACGGGUGAGUAACACGUGGGCAACCUGCCUGUAAGACUGGGAUAACUUCGGGAAACCGGAGCUAAUACCGGAUAAUGCAUAGCCUCUCAUGAGGCUAUGCUGAAAGAUGGUUUCGGCUAUCACUUACAGAUGGGCCCGCGGCGCAUUAGCUAGUUGGUGAGGUAACGGCUCACCAAGGCAACGAUGCGUAGCCGACCUGAGAGGGUGAUCGGCCACACUGGGACUGAGACACGGCCCAGACUCCUACGGGAGGCAGCAGUAGGGAAUCUUCCGCAAUGGACGAAAGUCUGACGGAGCAACGCCGCGUGAGUGAUGAAGGUUUUCGGAUCGUAAAACUCUGUUGUCAGGGAAGAACAAGUGCCGGAGUAACUGCCGGCACCUUGACGGUACCUGACCAGAAAGCCACGGCUAACUACGUGCCAGCAGCCGCGGUAAUACGUAGGUGGCAAGCGUUGUCCGGAAUUAUUGGGCGUAAAGCGCGCGCAGGCGGUCUCUUAAGUCUGAUGUGAAAGCCCACGGCUCAACCGUGGAGGGUCAUUGGAAACUGGGGGACUUGAGUGCAGAAGAGGAAAGUGGAAUUCCACGUGUAGCGGUGAAAUGCGUAGAGAUGUGGAGGAACACCAGUGGCGAAGGCGACUUUCUGGUCUGUAACUGACGCUGAGGCGCGAAAGCGUGGGGAGCAAACAGGAUUAGAUACCCUGGUAGUCCACGCCGUAAACGAUGAGUGCUAAGUGUAGAGGGUUUCCGCCCUUUAGUGCUGCAGCAAACGCAUUAAGCACUCCGCCUGGGGAGUACGGCCGCAAGGCUGAACUCAAGGAAUUGACGGGGGCCCGCACAGCGGUGGAGCAUGUGUUUAAUUCGAAGCACGCGAAGACCUUACCAGGUCUUGACAUCCUCUGACAACCCUAGAGAUAGGGCGUCCUCGGGACAGAGUGACAGGUGAA